Molecule: long non-coding RNA, 2270 nt
Filed under: Malus domestica (apple)
Lineage: Eukaryota; Viridiplantae; Streptophyta; Magnoliopsida; Rosales; Rosaceae
Description: long non-coding RNA (MDOM_LNC002107)
Source: RNAcentral
GAGGGCAGACAAUCCUUGUCCUAGUUUGAUGUAUCAGAUCCAGUGAGAACAUUAAAUCUUGGACCAAUUAUUUGUCAAAUUGUGAGCCUCUUCUAAAAACUUUUCUUCAACAACUUUCAUUAACUACGCUUGCAUCGUCCGUUGUUGAUUUUUGCUACAGUGGGAAUUGGAAUAUAGAACAUUUGGUCCAUUUCCUUUCUAAAGUAACUGUGGAUAAAAUUGUCAAUAUUCUUGUGAAUAAUAUUGGUGGCUUGUCUAUCAAGUGUAUGUAGGGACCAACUAGUGAUGGUAACUUUACUAAGAAGUCUGCCUAUGUGUUGGAUUUAGGUACUAAUAUAAACACUAAGUGGCAAUGGAGUUUUAUCCAGGAGUUGCAUCUUCCUCCUAAAGUGCUCUCUUUUAUUUGACUUUUAUUGCUAGACAAAUUAUUGACCAAUGAACAACGAGUUAGAAGGGGGUUGGCUACGAAUCCUUCGAGCGACAGAUGUGAUGGUGCAUUUGAAUCACUUAGUCAUGUCUAGAGAAGUUUACAAAUUAGAGAACGAAUUACUAAAAUGGGAAGAAGAAGCAUAGAGGGAAGAGAAAAUAAAAGAUAGGAGAAACUGAAGUAGCAGUGAAAAGAAUGAGAAAGUAAAGACUUGUCUCAUGGAAAAAAAAAAAGAGAAAACUCUCAACAAGAAUAAAUAGAGUUUCCUUAAGAUAGUGAACUAUGCAGAGUGAACUAUGCAUGGGAAACUAGGAGAGGCAUCAUCACAUUGUCCUUAGUUAGCAGGCGGGAAGGGAAAAGUCUCAUCAAGCAGACGUGUUUUGGGUUGUCCGUCAGAGAUUGAUUUUUUGGCCCAAUUCGAUUGUCUCGCAAUUCAAAAAAUAAAAGGGCUAAUGUGAGGGCCAUUAAAAUUCACUUAUAAGCCUCAUAAUACCUCGAAGCCCUAGCUGUCCUUUUCCUUUGUAAACCAAAUAGGACACUUAAGAAACAACCAAAACCUAAAGCUAGGCUGAUCAAAUCCAAAAUGAGAUCACGUUUUAACUAGAGCAGCGCACCUAAUUAUUAGAUAAAGAACAUUUCCCUUCCAAGCUCAUACAGGAAAACGAGAGAGAAACAAGGAAGAGCUUUGCUAACGAUGGAGUCGUUUGUGGAACUUGGUGUAGGAAGAAGAAACUUUGUGCAAUUUGCUCAACCUAGGCUUCCCGAGGCUACUUGACACACCCCGACCUAAAUCAGGGCAUACUGGCCGUCACAUGAACGUGACGUAACCAUGUGCACAGUGCGGAAGCAAUAAGAAUAUAAAGAAAUACGAGUGAAUAAAAACCAAAUUACUAGCAGUACAGACUAAGAUAAGGUGCUAGUGCGAGAUUAAGUGUGAAAUACACAACCAUAGCAUAAAUAGUCUAAGUGCAGUCAAGCAGGACAAGCACUAAUUAAACGACACCCAAAGGUGAUCCUACAUUUAUAAUGUUCUGUUAGAACCACCGUCGAAAUCCCUGAGAGCCACCCAAGCCUGCUACCUAAAACCUAGAGGGGCGCAAAACAGAAAGUGUGAGUGGGCAAAAACAAAGCUUUUCAAAAUCAUUUCAUUUCUAAAAAAAGUUCUAACUCUUCGCCGUAUAAUUUCCCAGAAAGUAUAAUAUAUGCUAUUUCAAAAAUCAUGCUCAAGAUGAAAAUCCAUAGAAAUAUACCAUGUCAAAGUAUCACAAUAAAAUGCUAUAAGUAAUCCAAUUCACAUAUAUCAAUGCUAGAUAUCAUAUCAAUUGAAAUCCGCCUAACGUGCCCUGCACGACUGAGUCUAUAACUCAUAAUCAAUCUCAAUCAUAUUAAAUUCUGCACACGAGUCAGAACCACCUAAAGUGGUCUGUAUGACAAGACUAGGUGUAAAAUAAAUAUGCUCUAGUGCUACGAUCAUGUGAAGGCUAUGCGAACGAUCGUGGGUCAUCUACUAGUCGGAACCACCUAUAAUGGUCUGUACGACAAGCCUGUGUACCUAAUUUGGAUCUAAGGUGAGCAUAUGGUACGGGAGGUGAACAUCACAUGAAGAACUGUGCCCUAACUCUGGGCGGGAGCACUAACACUGGGGUACAGGUUUAUGAGCUCUCAAUACAUCUCACAUAACUAAGGCAAUCUUAUACCUUUAAUUUAUGAACUUACCUGGCACUUACCAGUGUGUUCGCAACACUAAUCAUAAUAUGCAACUACUAAUGCAUAAAUAAAAUAGGCAGAUACUUUGAAUGGCAUUUUAAAAUGCAUAAUCAUUCAAAUUCAUUUUUUGGGAAAA